GAUCUUGGUAUGGAGAUCUUGAGGUAUAGUGGCUAUGGAUUCCAGAAGAUUAAGACAAGGAGAUCUCCGAAUUCAAGGUCAUCUGGGAUUAAAGGUGUGGUGGCACACACCUUUAAUCUGGGCUACACUUUCUGCUGGAGACUAUAUGAGGACAUUGGAAGAAGGGAGUCUCACUCUCACUCUUUCGCCUGUUUGUUGUGUGGGACUGAGCAACUGCUAGAUCCUUGGACUUCUAUUCACUGCUACUACUAAACCGCUGUUGGGAACUGGACUGCAGACUUUCAAGAUACAGUCCAUCAUGACAGAGAAGUCAAGGCAGCAGGAUCACACUGUAUCCACAAUCAGGAAGCAGAGGUGGAGGAAUGCACCCUGUGAGUCAGUUCAUCUUAUCUAUUCAUAAGGAUUCAUAAGGAUUCUAGCCAGGAAAAUGACAUCACCAUAGUGAUGGGUCUUCUUUCUUAAGAGUCUUCAUAUCCUUUUAGUGGUCUGAAAUUUGAUGUGACAUAAAAGGAGCCAAUGUCAUCCCAUGUCAGGAGGUGCAAGUAUCUUUAGACAGAGUGCAAGCCAGGAUUCCAAAUCCAGAUACUUGAAUAUAAAAGCUUUUCAGACAGACAGUGGCGAGAACAAAGGCCUUAAGGUGGUUGGUUGUCUGACAAUUCAAGCCUCAACAAGGAGACCUGUGACUUUAGAGACCGAUGAGGAUUGCCUAGAAGGGGGACGUGGCGCUAUUGUGAGAGAGGCAUCUAUUUGGAACCUGAGUGUGGCCCCUAGGAAUGAAGACCAAUCUCUGUUCAAGAGACCACUAGAAAAAUUGGCCUCAUUUUUUCUGUGACAACAAGAAGCUGAGUUCGGCCAACAACCUGCAGAAGUUUAGAAGUGAUCACUGAGCUCCAGGGAAAAGGAAGAAAGCUACCAAGACAAAUAAGUUUGGUGUAAAGUGGUCUCUGGUUCAGUGGCCAUGGAGAAGAGGAAUGAGCUAGCACUGAGUACUCAUUCAUCCUUCAUAAGAGAAUUUCAACUGUACGGUGCCACGCGAAGCAUCUUUUUAGCACCGUGAAAGCUAUGUAGUAGAGACGAAGCUUCCAGCUCUGGUCCAUCUUGAUUCUUCCAUGUCCUGUUUAAGUAUUUAUUUAUCCUCAUCUGCCUGGCAUUCCUGAAGUCUCCUUACUACAGUAAAGCAAACAAAUUAGCAUUUUAUAAAAUAUUUUCUAGAGGUAAGAGUUUUGUAACCCCAAAAUAAAUGUCCCUUUACCCUUA
RNAcentral lists this long non-coding RNA (1257 nucleotides) under Mus musculus (house mouse). RNAcentral describes it as "predicted gene, 34237". The record is from RNAcentral. Lineage: Eukaryota; Metazoa; Chordata; Mammalia; Rodentia; Muridae.